GUUGAACGCUAGCGGGAUGCCUUACACAUGCAAGUCGAACGGCAGCGGGAAGUAGCUUGCUACUUUGCCGGCGAGUGGCGAACGGGUGAGUAAUGUAUCGGAACGUGCCCAGUAGCGGGGGAUAACUACGCGAAAGCGUGGCUAAUACCGCAUACGCCCUACGGGGAAAGGGGGGACGUCUUCGGAGCCUCUCACUAUUGGAGCGGCCGAUAUCGGAGUUAGUCUAGUUGGUGGGGUUAAAGGGACCGU
This 249-nucleotide ribosomal RNA is filed under the name uncultured bacterium. RNAcentral describes it as "partial 16S ribosomal RNA". It matches the Rfam family "Bacterial small subunit ribosomal RNA", at positions 28 to 268 of the family's 1533-position model. The record is from RNAcentral.